AGAGUUUGAUCCUGGCUUAGGAUGAACGCUGGCGGCGUGCUUAACACAUGCAAGUCGAACGAAGCACUUUAAACAGAUUUCUUCGGAAUGACGUUUUUAGUGACUUAGUGGCGGACGGGUGAGUAACGCGUGGGUAACCUACCCUGUACAGGGGGAUAACAGUUAGAAAUGACUGCUAAUACCGCAUAAGCGCACAGUAUCGCAUGAUACAGUGUGAAAAACUUUUGUGGUACAGGAUGGACCCGCGUCUGAUUAGCUAGUUGGUGAGGUAACGGCCCACCAAGGCAACGAUCAGUAGCCGACUUGAGAGAGUGAUCGGCCACAGUUGGGACUGAGACGACGGACCCAAACUCCUACGGGAGGCAGCAGGUGGGGAAUAUUGCGACAAUGGGGGAAACCCUGAUGCAGCGACGCCGCGUGAAGGAUGAAGUAUUUCGGUAUGUAAGCUUCUAUCAGCAAGGAAGAAUAAUGACGGUACUUGACUAAGAAGCCCCGGCUAAAUACGUGCCAGCAGCAGC
RNAcentral lists this ribosomal RNA (518 nucleotides) under uncultured bacterium. RNAcentral describes it as "bacterial SSU rRNA". It matches the Rfam family "Bacterial small subunit ribosomal RNA", at positions 8 to 518 of the family's 1533-position model. The record is from RNAcentral.